UCGAGCGAUCUGCCUUGAAGAUCGGAGUGCUUGCACUCUGUGAAACAAGAUACAGGCUAGCGGCGGACGGGUGGGUAACACGUGGGUAACCUGCCCAAGAGAUCGGGAUAACACCUGGAAACAGAUGCUAAUACCGGAUAACAACAGAUGAUGCCUAUCAACUGUUUAAAAGAUGGUUCUGCUAUCACUCUUGGAUGGACCUGCGGUGCAUUAGCUAGUUGGUAGGGUAACGGCCUACCAAGGCGAUGAUGCAUAGCCGAGUUGAGAGACUGAUCGGCCACAUUGGGACUGAGACACGGCCCAAACUCCUACGGGAGGCAGCUGUAGGGAAUCUUCCACAAUGGACGCAAGUCUGAUGGAGCAACGCCGCGUGAGUGAAGAAGGGUUUCGGCUCGUAAAGCUCUGUUGUUGGUGAAGAAGGACAGGGGUAGUAACUGACCUUUGUUUGACGGUAAUCAAUUAGAAAGUCACGGCUAACUACGUGCCAGCAGCCGCGGUAAUACGUAGGUGGCAAGCGUUGUCCGGAUUUAUUGGGCGUAAAGCGAGUGCAGGCGGCUCGAUAAGUCUGAUGUGAAAGCCUUCGGCUCAACCGGAGAAUUGCAUCAGAAACUGUCGAGCUUGAGUACAGAAGAGGAGAGUGGAACUCCAUGUGUAGCGGUGAAAUGCGUAGAUAUAUGGAAGAACACCGGUGGCGAAGGCGGCUCUCUGGUCUGUUACUGACGCUGAGGCUCGAAAGCAUGGGUAGCGAACAGGAUUAGAUACCCUGGUAGUCCAUGCCGUANACGAUGAGUGCUAAGUGGUUGGGAGGUUUCCGCCUCUCAGUGCUGCAGCUAACGCAUUAAGCAC
RNAcentral lists this ribosomal RNA (846 nucleotides) under uncultured bacterium. Its description in RNAcentral is "bacterial SSU rRNA". It matches the Rfam family "Bacterial small subunit ribosomal RNA", at positions 62 to 867 of the family's 1533-position model. The record is from RNAcentral.